AGCAGCCGCGGUAAUUCCAGCUCCAAUAGCGUAUAUUAAAGUUGUUGCAGUUAAAAAGCUCGUAGUUGAACUUCGGGGUUCACCCAUUGGUCAGGCUUAACUGUCUGCACUGGUGAGAUGAAUCUCUACCUUCUGAGGAACUUUCAUGCCAUUUAUUUGGUGUGAUGGGAAAUCAGGACUGUUACUUUGAAAAAAUUAGAGUGUUUAAAGCAGGCUAACGUCUGAAUACAUUAGCAUGGAAUAAUGAAAUAGGACGGACUGGUUCUAUUUUGUUGGUUUCUAGGAUCACCGUAAUGAUUAAUAGGGAUAGUUGGGGGCAUUAGUAUUCAAUUGUCAGAGGUGAAAUUCUUGGAUUUAUUGAAGACUAACUACUGCGAAAGCAUUUGCCAAGGAUGUUUUCAUUAAUCAAGAACGAAAGUUAGGGGAUCGAAGACGAUCAGAUACCGUCGUAGUCUUAACCAUAAACUAUGCCGACUAGGGAUCGGAUGAUGUCGUAUUUUUUAAUGACUCU
This 511-nucleotide ribosomal RNA is filed under the name uncultured Diversispora. RNAcentral describes it as "SSU rRNA". It matches the Rfam family "Eukaryotic small subunit ribosomal RNA", at positions 569 to 1078 of the family's 1831-position model. Lineage: Eukaryota; Fungi; Glomeromycota; Glomeromycetes; Diversisporales; Diversisporaceae. The record is from RNAcentral.